GUCUUUUCCUGGCUGUCCUGUGUUGGUGAUAAAUGGAUCACAAUUUCAGGACUUCACACCAUUUCACCAGUCUCCUCUAAUAAUUUCUACUGUUUUUUAUUGUCUCCAUGGCUUGAUGACUUUCCACUCUUCCAUCAAGGUCUUCAGAAUCCCAGGAGUGUCC
RNAcentral lists this long non-coding RNA (163 nucleotides) under Chloebia gouldiae (Gouldian finch). RNAcentral's name for it is "Erythrura gouldiae (Gouldian finch) lncRNA (ENSEGOG00005011631.1)". The record is from RNAcentral. Lineage: Eukaryota; Metazoa; Chordata; Aves; Passeriformes; Passeridae.